Passer domesticus (house sparrow) is the source of this 8068-nucleotide long non-coding RNA. RefSeq lists it as uncharacterized. NCBI's taxonomy places the organism in Eukaryota, Metazoa, Chordata, Aves, Passeriformes, Passeridae. The record is from RefSeq and is a predicted model, not a curated record. The transcript is spliced from 3 exons.
UCCUUCAUGUUUUUCCCAAUACCAGGAAGUUUCUAUAUAUAGUAAUGCCCUUGAGAAUCUCUGAUUAUUUUCAGGUUUUAUUUUCUUUUUUUUUUUUUUUUUUUAAUUGAGACAGAUGAAACAGCCUUAUUGGUUUUAGUUUUGGCAGGUCUGGUUUUUUUCUCUGCAUGAUGGUUUACUUAUUAUCUACAUUUAAGCUUCUUUUUAUUUAUGGGUUUUUUGUUCCCCAAGCAAUUAUUUUGACAGUCUUUUGUUCACUUCUUACUUAAUGUUCCAUAGAUGAAUAGUUUGGACUCUCUUUUUAUAGGAAUAUAAAGAUCUCAGAAAGCUGUAUUUCUAAUUUUGAUAACAUUCUCUCUAGUAAUAUGUGUCCAACCCUUUUCUUGAGUCAGUAUCGCCGUGUGAGUGGUCAGCAACACCUGAAAGGGACCUUCAAACUUAGGCAUUAGAAGCGUAUUGUUCCAUGAUUUAAUUAGUACGCAAUCCCCAGGAUGAAUAUCAUGAACAUUUAUAUCAUGAGGAGAGGUUUGAGGUAUAUAUCCCUUUUUUCUGAGGGCUUCUAACGUUUUCCCAAUUGCUCCUAAAUACUUCCAUGUAGCUUCUUCUCCAUCUAGAUAAUUUCCAGUACUGUAGGGGGACAAUAAGAAGGGAAGCCCAAACAUCAUCUCACAGGGGGAGACCCCUAUGUCUGCUCGGGGUCUUGUUCUAAUACGUAAUAAGGCUAAGGGCAAGCACUUUAGCCAAUUUAAUUUGGUCUCAGAUAUUAACUUUGUCAACACAUUUUUAAGUGUUUUAUUCAUCCUUUCAACUCUGCCCGGGCUCUGGGGAUGCCAUGGAGUAUGUAGUCUCCAUUUCAUCUCCAAGGCUUCAAUUAUUCGUUGUAAGGCCUGAGCAGCAAAGUGAGGCCCUCUAUCAGAAUCAAUCGUGUUUACUAAACCAUACCGGGGAAUGAUUUCUUCCAGGAUUAUCUUUGCAACCACUUCUGCAGUUUCCUUUUUGGUGGGGAAAGCUUCCACCCAAUGGGUGAGGUGAUCUACUAUUACCAAUAGAUGCUUAUAUCCCUGUGCUAGGGGCAUUUCAGUGAAAUCUGUCUGUAUGUUUUGGAAUGGUCUUAAAGCCAAUUCUCUUCCCCCAGGUUCUAUUCUUCUCAUUACUUUUUGAUUAACUUUUUGACAGAUUACACACCCUUUGGUUAUUGUCCUAGCUAAUUCAUACACUCCGAUGCAUAUGUUUUCUCUCAAGAAGUGGUUGCAUAGUCCCUGGAUUCCCCAAUGUGUUAAUUCGUGGAUUUCUGUUAAUACCUUCCGUGCUAAUGCCUGGUUUAGAAACCUCCUCCCAUCUUGAGUUAACCAUUCACCACGUUCCCCUUGGUGUAAUUUCAAUUCCUCUAUCGCCUUUCGUUCCUUCUCACUAAAGAUUGGCCUUACUUCGUCUUCUUGUUGUCUGGCUUUCCUUUCUAGCUUGAAGAUCUUAAUUGGUUCUCCUAUUUCUAAGGCUGCCUCCUUAGCCUUUUGGUCAGCAAGUUUGUUUCCUUUUAUUUCAAAAUUAUCUCCUUUCUGGUGUCCUUUUAUGUGCACUAUUGCUAUUUCUGUUGGCUUUUGUAAAGAUUUUAAUACUAACUUUAUUAGUUCUGUAUGUACUAGAUUUUUCCCUUUAGAAUUUAAAUAUCCACGCUCUUCCCAGAUUUUGCCAAAUGUGUGUACGAUGCCAAAUGCAUAUUGCGAGUCAGUAUAUAUAGUGCCGCUAUCUUUUUCUAACAGAUCUAGUCCUCUUUUUAAUGCAAAUACUUCGCAGCACUGUGCUGACCAAUUCAAAGACAGCUUCCCCUUUUCUACAACUUCCAUAUUUUUACCAUCUAUUAUCGCAUACCCAGAAGCUCUUUUCCCAGAGACUACUCUAGAGGAGCCAUCUGUGAACAAGACUCUCCCAUAAGGGAGGUUUCCUCGGCGCCAUUUUAGAGAGCAGUGGAGGCAGCACUUGACAGAGGUAACAAUGGAGUUUUUGGACUACCUGGACAGCGUGUACAUACUUUCUUUGUUUGUUCCCCCUGGAGUUAUUGACUCUGACUCAUAGUGUGGACCCUCCAGCUGCCCUGUGUAGUCCCAGCCAGGAGCCAUGUAGCCCAACUCACCUUCUCCCCAGCAGCACCCUUAUCUGCACAGCUGAUAGCAGAAAAGAGGAGGUGGUUUUUGUUCUACAGGAAUCCCACAGAUUUUGUGGACACAAUGUAUUAUAGCUGAGCGUCCAGCAUACCAGUGCGAAGUGCCUCUGAAAGGUGAGGACAUAGUCCUGAUGGGACUUAUUGAUACUGGAGCUGAUGUGACUGUUGUCUCAAAAAGCCAAUGGCCCAGUGAGUGGCCACUAAUGACUGUGCCUCAGGUACUCCCAGGCAUGGGUGGGAGUCAUGAAAGCCUGCAAAGCCAACACAGUGCACGUUAUAGGGCGGGAUGGGUGGAUCGCCACAGUUGCACUUUGUGUGCUGUCUGUCCCCAUGGUUUUGUGGGGGAGGGAUGUGUUAACACAGUGGGGAAUUUUUAGGCAUUCAGAUUUCGUACAGGAGUCAUUUGGGACAUUCAACACCCCCACAAUGGUCCCUGGCUGAAGUGCCCCAGGCACUUUGAAGCAUUGGAAGGAGCAGCCCAGCUAUCAAAAGCCACAGUUCAGACAGAUCUAAAGCCCUGAGGGACACCUAGCCCUGGUCAAAUUUCCAGUUACUUGCCUUGUUUUUUAGCAAUGUCUUUUGUUGUGAAUUUUUUGGUACAACUAUUCAGUACUAUGUAACUACACCUCUUUUCGGUUUAGCCUUCAGUGUUUAUAUGCCAUUGCUCUUACUAAGCCAAACUUAAACCUAUCCUACAAGCAAUCUUUAAAGCUGCUGCAGGGCAUGUACCCCCCCCCACCCCCCGCCCCACCUGGCACCAGCCAGUGUUGAGAUUUAUCUUCUAAUUUUAGUAACUUGUGAUUUGUGAUUUUUAAUAGGAUUGUUACUAGAAGAAUUCAAAGGUGUUGGUAUAGAGGUGGAGGUUUCUCUACAUAUUAGUAACAUAGCAAAACUACAUAGUUCACUAAGAGGAAUUAGAGAAUUUUAAAGUCAAGAUUCUUUAGCUCAUAUUCAAGACAAACCUUGAAUUUUACCUGUAGUGAUUUUUCCAGACUUAACUCCAUUGUCAGCUUUACUAAGUGCUUGCUUUUUACUCCAUAGUUCUAACAAGGUAAUUUUAUUAUAAAGAUAUCAGUACAGUUGUUUAUUUGAAUGUUGUUUAUUUUGAUGUUUAACUGUUAGAUGAGAAAUUUUCACUAACCUUUGUAUAAUAAUAGAGUUUAAAUAAGUUAAUUCUUGUUAAGAUUGAUCUUUGUUUAGUCUCGGUGAUGUUAACUUUAAGUUCUUUUAGAGAUACUUUAUUAAGGUUAAGUUUUAGUGAAGCUGAUUUUAAGUUUUGUUGAAGCAUACCUGUUUGAGCCAUAAGAUAUAAUUCCUUUGCUAUACAAGUGAAUGACAUAAAGUCUGAAUGAAUUUUUGUCAACAUUUGCUCAUUUAAACUACAAGAUAACGCUAUUUUGUUAUAGAAAUAAGAACAAUUUUUGCUAUUUUAUUUUUUAUAAGUAAUACUAAAGAAUGAUAAACAAUUCCAUAUUAUGACCAUUAUUAGUUAUGAGUUAUUGAAUGCUUUCUUUUUUACUUUUUUGCUUUAAUGUCAUAUAUGCAAAAAUGUCUAGGAAAAUAUAACCUCAAUUUCAUAAGACAGUUUCUCUUGAUCUAUUAGUCACCCUGAUUAUGUUAUUAAUCUUAUGGUGUGAAUUCACUGUCUUUUUAUAGCAAUCAUUACUUUUUUCAUUUGCUAUUUGUCUGUGGUACCAUUGACUAAGUAACCAUAAAUCAGAAAGCCAGCUACUUCACAAACCUUCAUUUAUGGCUAUACAGCUAUUUAUAAGACAUAUAGUACUUUUCUAACUACUAGUACUAAGAGGUUAUUAAAAUAUAUUAAAAAGACUCUUCCAGUUAAAAGCCUGGACCCUGGCCAAGUCCUGAUCUUAACUAGUAGAGAAAAUUUUCUCCACCAAAAUUAUAUUCAAAUAAUUUUGACUUAACAAAUUUGGGCUUAUAACAGCUACACCUCCUUUUAAAGUGAACUUAGAAAUCUUACCCGGGAAUGAUUUUCCAAGCCAUCACUUUAAAAAAUAAAGCUUGCCAAUUACUACAGACUCUAAGUAAUAGUACAAUACUUAAGAAAUUGAUAAUGUAUUGUUUGAAAUCACCAUUUAUUUUUCAUCUAUUUAUCAACAGAUACUGAUUGUAUCUAUUCUCUGAUUUAUUUUUACUUAGUAUAAGUUUAUUGCUUUAUUACAUAUUGUUAUGCUUUUGUGUGAUCUUCAUGCUCAUAAUGAGAAGCACAUGUGUUGUUAAAAACCAAAAUAUUAGGGAGGAAUAUAGCCUCUCCAGAAUUUUAUGCUAACAUUUACACUAAAAAUUUUUGAAAGAAACCAAAUCAUAUCAAAUUGGAUCCCUUGCCCUCCUGAAACACCCUUGGUGGAGCCCCAAGAAUUAGAAUUCCUGGGUUCUGUGAAACUGGAUUUUUGUGUUAAUUUUAAAUACACAGGAGGGAAUGAGUCUAAACAUCUUUCUCCCAAUCACCCUGUGUAUAAGAAUCAAACUUUUGAUACAAUUACACUUCUGGCAGCCUUUCUAAAUCCAGUAGUCCGGCUGCCAUCAGGAAUGUUUUUAGUUUUUAAAGAUAAAGCGUGAUGAGCCUUUAAGUGGCUGGAGUUUUUAAACUAAAAGAUUCCUUUUAGGAUAGGUAUGUAUGUGGUAAUUUUAAUAAUUAUUGUAUCAAUCAUCAUACUUUUCAAUGUGUGCAGAGAUUAAUUAACAAGGCCACUAAAAUAGUAUUUUUGGUCGAAAGGAAAGGGGGAGAUAUUGCAAUGUUGGGGGACACAAGACAAAUUAUGGACUUUGGGCCUGGUUAACAAAAGAGAUUUGAUAACAGGAUGCCUUGGCAAAAGCAAACGGAACUUUGAAAGUUAGACUUAGAUUGCAAGAAGAUUAAAUCAAACAGGUUUAUCAGAAAAAGAAAAUCCCAUUAAACUCUGCAAGCAAGAGAUGUUGUGACAUGUAAAAGUUUGUGUAUGUGAUUUUAACCUAAUCAUUGUAGUACCCAUUACUAGUCUCCCUGCAAUAAUAUGUAAGUGUUUGUAUCCCACAAUAGAAUUGGAUUCUGAUCACCAAGUCAGUCUUCCCCGUCUCUCUCCAUCACUGACAGGUGUCAGGUUGUAUUCUGACUCCGGCAGUGUUGUUUUGUAUUAUCACAUUAUUUAUUUGAUUUUUAUUUUCUUCCCUAAUAAAGAACUGUUAUUUCUGCUCCCAUAUCUUUGCCUGAGAGGCCCCCUUAAUUUCAAAACUAUAACAAUUUGUAAGGAGGGGUUUUACAUUUUCCAUUUCAGAGGAGGCUCCUGCCUUCCUUAGCAGACACCUGUCUUUUCAAACCAAGACACAUUUUAAAAGUUAAAAGUCAUCUAUUAAAUCACUAACUAAAUGUCUAUCUUUUACAAGGGGAAAAGGGUGAAUUGCUUGCACUGUUAUUCAUGUCUAAAAUUUCCGUGCACUAGAUAUUAGUAAAAGUUUGUUUUUAAAGUAUAAUUACAAAAAGCCUCCUCCAACCAAGCUCAUGAUCCUGAUCAAGCCAUGAACUUGGCUGGUAAAGAAAACUAUAUUAUUAAACCUAGGUGCUCUUUUUCCAUUGAGAGAAAUUAAAAAAGCCUCAUCCAGAAGAGGUUUUUUUCAAGUUCUCAUCAUGAAGAAGAGACCCAAGCAGAGCUCAAAACCCAUGUUUUGUCCUUAUUUUUAUUUAUAAUACAAAGAAAAAGGGGGAAACGGGUUUUCAUGAAGGUACACUGGCAUCUUUGAAUCUUAAGUAAAUAAUAUAACAGUAAAAUAACCCUAUGAUAUUCAUCUGCCUAAAAUACACUUCAGUAGACACUGGAAACCACAGACAAGCAUCCUGAAGUCUACCUACCUCAUGGACAGCUCACAUAAGAACUUCAUUUGUUUACAAUCUAUUCCUAAAAAUAUUAGACCACAUCCUAUUGUAACUGGUCCUGUUAAAAAAGCUGUCUCCCACUUUCUUCAAAGCCACUCUGAAAUUUUGGAAAGUGGAGCUAAAGUCUUCCUGGGGCCUGCUCUUCACAAAGCUGAAUAACUCCAUGUCCCUCCACAUUUCCUGAGAGGACAGCAUUGCUGGCUGGGGGUCUGUGUCAAUCCAUGAACUGGACAGGAAUGCUGAGGAACGUGCCUCGAGCUGUUUGUUUUCCAGCUGUUUGGUUUCCACUCUCAUUACAUGGUUAUGAAAAUGGAAAGAUGCCAGCAGCUCACAUCCCUGGCAGCACACAAAAACCUAAUGUUACCUUACCUUAAAAAGGUAAACUUUUUGACCAAUCCCACAAAGCAAAAGCAUAUUAACAGUAGUUCUAUCCAACCCCUAGAAGCACAGGUACCUUCGGUUAAAACAAUGCUUGCUUAUUUGGAAUACAAUACCUGUUUGCAAGCCUUAAGGUAGAAUGGACUGAGCUCCAUUAUUAAGCUUAGAAGUUCCUAAUAUCUCACUAGAUAUACUUUUCUCUAGCUUAGGGAGUUUUUCUAGCCAAGCGUUAAUACAAAGACCAUUGUUCUAUUUGUCCUUACUUUUUUACAUCUUAUGUAAUUUUGCUGUUGACUUAUCUUAUGGCUGCUGCUUAGCUCUAAUCACAGUUCUGAUGUCUUUGAACCCUGUCUUUUGCAGCUUUCCCCAAACCUUCUGAUUUUAAGGAUUCCCACAAUUCUCCCUCUCUGUCUGACUAAAAAAACCCUUCCAUAACCGUGUCGUUUAUUAACUACCUUGCAUUUCAUAGCUUUACUAUAGUAUAUCUGCUUAUUACUUGCUUAAAACAUCCUUUUUGCUCACCUUAAGCCUUGCUAUUUUUCAACACAGCAAUUUUAAUGCUGUGGAAGUCCAGUCAGUUCAAAGGGCAUAAAUCAUGUCUCAUUGCAAUUACAAGUCAUUGUUCAAAAAAGUCUCACCUGUUCCAAGGUCUUAAUUCAAAACUUUUGUCCAUGUCAAUACCUUCAUCCACCAUCUCUGUGAGAUUUCAAGAACUCUCUGUGAAUCCUAUGUCUCUUACAUGCUAAACACUUCUUUGAUAGUUUUAUCCAUCAUUUGUGACACACACUGAGGCGUGCAAGUUAUUACUCCAGUAUCACUACCAAAACACCCAACACAUAUAGACCUAUCUUACAAAGUUCUCUUUGCCAAGGUGCAAAGCUCCAUCCUAGGAACAAAUCAUCUAACCAGGACCCACCAUCUUCUUUAAUUUCAGCUGUCAAAUCUUUCAGCUUUUGUAUACUUUUGUGGAUGGAUUCAGAAUGAUGAGACAGGUUCAUGCAAGACAAUCCACAAAUUCCUCACAACCAUGUCCAUGUGCCAGGAAAAAAAAAAUCAACAGCUGCUCUAUUUCAAAGGGUAGCAUGCCCAACACUGUUAUCAUCUGUUAGCAUAUCACUGAUUGCAGUGGAUGUGGCAUUAGUUUGUUAAAUGUUUGUUAAACAAUUAAAACCAACCAACAUCAGUGUAUCAUUCAAUUUUGCUCCAUUCUUUUCGUGAGCUAAUUUUUGACAAAAGAUCCUCCCAUAUCCUCCUCAAUUAAAAAACUUUGCUUUUGACCUUUAAUAAAAAUUUCACCUUUGAAAACCCAGUAGAGGGGAUCUAUAACAUCACAAAACAAAAACCACACUUUUGCCAAAAGAGCUCUACAAAACCAACAAUUGACACAUUUAUAAACAGCAUAAAAUCAGAGUUUGCAGGUCACAGCAAGGAACAAGGAAUGUCAGGUGUGACCCGUGAUCCCUCUGUUCAGCUCACGUCUGCGUACUUGCUUCUACGGUCUUGGACUCAUCAACACCUUCUGGGGUGUGAUAUGGUUUGAUGCUUUUCACUGGGACCCACUUAAUUCCUGCACCUGUAGAGACAGAAGCAUACCCUUUGCCCCAAGUGGUUAAUCAGAAAGGACCUUCAAUUUGUCCUGUCCCAGGGUUUCUAAU